This 1066-nucleotide long non-coding RNA is filed under the name Homo sapiens (human). RNAcentral describes it as "PREDICTED lncRNA (TCONS_00034161)". The record is from RNAcentral. Lineage: Eukaryota; Metazoa; Chordata; Mammalia; Primates; Hominidae.
GGGGACUUUGGGCCCCAGGGUAACAGCUUGACCUCUGGAGGCACUGGAGACAAAGAUCAGCCACGUGGCAGUCAACCAUGUCUAUCUGACCAAGUUCCAAUGAAAACUCUGGACACCAAGGCUUGGGAGAUAUUUCUCAAAAGACUCCUCUGCGGGAGAGGAGAAUAGCAAAUGCUACUCUCUCUAGCUGUACUCUAAGCAGUUCGCAGGGAGCAUCUUUCAGCAGCUGAAACAGCUUUGCGGCCUUGCUGUAAUGAAGAUCUGCCAGCACCCGGUGUUGUUUCCUAAGGUGUUCAUCACCAACCUAGAACCAAACCAAAACAAGCAACAAAUCCUUCACGAGACCGUCCAGGCUGGACUUGAACUCCUUCCUCGGCUGAAGUGAUCCUCCUGCCUCAGCGUCCUGAAUAGGAAGUGGAGCCAGAAUCCACAGAUGUCAUUAUCCAUCUGCACACUUUGUUUACUACCCAGAAGGCAAGAAUAUUGCAUUUUAAAAGUGCCCGGACUUUUGUUCUUUCUUAUCACAAAUGACUUGGGAAGCUCCGACCACUCAUGUUUACCCCGAGUGAAAGUCCCAUUCAAAGCCUUGCUUCCUGGAGAGCUUUGAGAUUCUGGUACAAAAGGCAUUUUAUAAGCACAAAGUGGAAAAGCAUCAUUCAUAUUCAUUUGCUGCUGCGGCAUUUCUCCCUGGAAUCUUCCUCUUGUCUGUCAACAUUGGGCAAAAGGACUGGCCUCAUCUACAUUACAGAUAUCCUUGUGAUGGUCUGGAGGGACCUGUGGGAGAGGCGGCCAUCCAGAGGGCUCUCUGAGGGGUCAUUUAGAAUGCAACUCUUCUGGGCAGAGGAUGGUCUGCACUGGCCUCCACCACGCAGGAAGGCUUCCAGAGUGGAGAAAUGUCCACUAACAUGGCUUCUGUGAGGUAUCAUUCUGAUCAUUGUUGUUACAGGAGAGAUGAGAGGAAGUUAGAGGGGCUAGAAGAACCAGGAGACCUGUUGAAAAUCAUGAAUACAAAGAGAGGUCGUUUGCUUCUGUGCUUCAAUUCUAUAAUAAAAUGAGUACAAUGUCA